GCCUACAGCGAUUGGCUUAUCAAUUGCCAGCUCCACCAAUCCCUGAAGAGGCCUCCCCUUUAAAAACCUAGGACUUCCUGGGAGAAGGCCGGCAUCAUAACACCUCAGGAUGCAUUUCCGGGCCAUAAUCAAGCCACUCCAUGGAGUUCACCCAGGACAAACUCCAACAACUCCACUCCAUCAACCCACUGAGAUUA
Molecule: non-coding RNA, 197 nt
Organism: Poecilia reticulata (guppy)
Lineage: Eukaryota; Metazoa; Chordata; Actinopteri; Cyprinodontiformes; Poeciliidae
Source: RefSeq, a predicted model, not a curated record